Molecule: ribosomal RNA, 301 nt
Filed under: uncultured bacterium
Lineage: Bacteria
Description: partial 16S ribosomal RNA
Rfam family: Bacterial small subunit ribosomal RNA
Source: RNAcentral
CAGUAGCCGCGGGAAUACGUAGGGUGCGAGCGUUAAUCGGAAUUACUGGGCGUAAAGCGUGCGCAGGCGGUUGUGUAAGACAGGUGUGAAAUCCCCGGGCUUAACCUGGGAACUGCGCUUGUGACUGCACAGCUAGAGUAUGGCAGAGGGGGGUGGAAUUCCACGUGUAGCAGUGAAAUGCGUAGAGAUGUGGAGGAACACCGAUGGCGAAGGCAGCCCCCUGGACCUGUACUGACGCUCAUGCACGAAAGCGUGGGGAGCAAACAGGAUUAGAGACCCCUGUAGUCCCUGUCUCUUAUAC